This 785-nucleotide ribosomal RNA is filed under the name uncultured Glomus. RNAcentral's name for it is "SSU rRNA". It matches the Rfam family "Eukaryotic small subunit ribosomal RNA", at positions 325 to 1111 of the family's 1831-position model. Lineage: Eukaryota; Fungi; Glomeromycota; Glomeromycetes; Glomerales; Glomeraceae. The record is from RNAcentral.
AUGGUAGGAUAGAGGCCUACCAUGGUGGUAACGGGUAACGGGGUGUUAGGGCACGACACCGGAGAGGGAGCCUGAGAAACGGCUACCACAUCCAAGGAUGGCAGCAGGCGCGCAAAUUACCCAAUCCCGACACGGGGAGGUAGUGACAAUAAAUAACAAUACGGGGUUCUUUAGGAUCUCGUAAUUGGAGUGAGUACAAUUUAAAUCUCUUAACGAGGAACAAUUGGAGGGCAAGUCUGGUGCCAGCAGCCGCGGUAAUUCCAGCUCCAAUAGCGUAUAUNAAAGUUGUUGCAGUUAAAAAGCUCGUAGUUGAAUUUCGGGGUCAGUAGGUCGGUCGUGCCACUGGUAUGAACUGGUUUUACUGAUUCCUCCCUCUUGAAGAACUGUAAUGCCAUUAAUUUGGUGUUGCAGGGAAUCAGGACUGUUACUUUGAAAAAAUUAGAGUGUUUAAAGCAGGCUUUAGCUUGAAUACAUUAGCAUGGAGUAAUGAAAUAGGACGUUUGAUCCUAUUUUGUUGGUUUCUAGGAUUGACGUAAUGAUUAAUAGGGAUAGUUGGGGGCAUUAGUAUUCAAUUGUCAGAGGUGAAAUUCUUGGAUUUAUUGAAGACUAACUACUGCGAAAGCAUUUGCCAAGGAUGUUUUCAUUAAUCAAGAACGAAAGUUAGGGGAUCGAAGACGAUCAGAUACCGUCGUAGUCUUAACCAUAAACUAUGCCGACUAGGGAUCGGAUGAUGUUAAUUUUUUAAUGACUCAUUCGGCGCCUUACGGGAAACCAAAGUGUUUGGG